GUGUAACCAUGUGUCUAUAAACAGCAGGAGACAAUGAAGUAGAAACUGUGCUCAGGGGGAUCAUGGCAGUUGAGGGAGCAGCCUUCAAGCCUUUCAUUACACAAAUGAGGUGUUCGCAUCAUGUUUUACAGUGGCUUCCAACCCUGUUCACCCAAUUUGCUCUAUGGUAACAAGAAACCAGACAGCCAGAGUCUACGGAGUUUAAUGGGUCACAUGAUUUUUCUGGAAUCAGCCUACAAGAUCUCCAUGCAUGCCCAGAUGAUCCCUGCCAUGGCUGCGUUCAAUGCUGUCAUCUCAUACUGCUGAGGUCUUGAUUCAUGUUCUGUGUCCUCCAGAAUCAAUUCCUGGAUCUCCCUUUUCUCUGGGCUUCCAAGCUCUUUGAUUAAUAGGCAGCAGUUGGUUAAAAUGUCAGCAGCACGUGCCCUCUCCUGUUUUAAAACGAGCCAGCCUGUCGCCUGCAUUCUCAUUUCAUUCAAUGCUGAUUUUAAACAUGCAUAGACACUUACCCUUGGUCCUGUUAUUUUCUCACCCCUUUUCACAUGGCGACAGGCCAUUUACCAAGGUCUACCCAAGCAUAUCCACUUCCCACGCUUAAAUAUGCAGGAGACCUAUGACAGCAGAGCUAUUAGUUGCUAUGCACCUCAGUGCCACCUCUGCCUGAUUAUAUUAAUUCAUGUUACACUAGACUGAAGGAUUUUUUUAUAUGAUGUGGUUUUUUAUUAGUUGAAUUGUGAUACGUGUGAAAGGUACUAUGAAUCCGAAUUGUGAAGUUACUUAAGUCACCAUGAUCCAUCUAUAUCCCCCCAGGACAUACUGUUUAUGAUCGCUGUCUCCACACCCAUAUUAAAAGGAUUCUGUAUUUAUACUGUAUUUAAUUUCUCACCUGUUUAAUAUCCUAUUCUGUGUGUUUACUACCAUUCUCUAUUGUUUAAAUCGAUUGCUGAGCUCGCUGAAAGUCCUAUUUGAAAUCAGCUCACUAACCAGAAAUUCAGCUUUUAGGAGUCUUUCCAGAAGCAGCCCCCCUGGUUAAAAAUGAGACAUUAGUUAUUACGCCUAGUAAAUGAUCUCAGCAGAAACAGAAUUAUAUAUUAAAAAAAAAACACACACACACACACACACACACACAUACUAGGUAAGAAAUGAAAUAUUAAUUCUGCUCUGGAUUGCUCGGCAUAAAAGCGAUUCUGGCUUUAGGCUUGUGAGAUCAGAGGACGUUCGCAUGCCCUCAGAAUGUCUGUGAUGUGUGGGGACUCGCAAGACAUUGGACAUUCCAA
Long non-coding RNA from Acipenser ruthenus (sterlet), 1274 nucleotides. RefSeq lists it as uncharacterized. The record is from RefSeq and is a predicted model, not a curated record. Lineage: Eukaryota; Metazoa; Chordata; Actinopteri; Acipenseriformes; Acipenseridae. The transcript is spliced from 3 exons.